GACGAACGCUGGCGGCGUGCUUAACACUUGCAAGUCGAACGGAAAGGCCCUGCUUUUGUGGGGUGCUCGAGUGGCGAACGGGUGAGUAACACGUGAGUAACCUGCCCUUGACUUUGGGAUAACUUCAGGAAACUGGGGCUAAUACCGGAUAGGAGCUCCUGCUGCAUGGUGGGGGUUGGAAAGUUUCGGCGGUUGGGGAUGGACUCGCGGCUUAUCAGCUUGUUGGUGGGGUAGUGGCUUACCAAGGCUUUGACGGGUAGCCGGCCUGAGAGGGUGACCGGCCACAUUGGGACUGAGAUACGGCCCAGACUCCUACGGGAGGCAGCAGUGGGGAAUAUUGCACAAUGGGCGGAAGCCUGAUGCAGCAACGCCGCGUGCGGGAUGACGGCCUUCGGGUUGUAAACCGCUUUCGCCUGUGACGAAGCGUGAGUGAUGGUAAUGGGUAAAGAAGCACCGGCUAACUACGUG
Molecule: ribosomal RNA, 468 nt
Filed under: uncultured bacterium
Lineage: Bacteria
Description: partial 16S ribosomal RNA
Rfam family: Bacterial small subunit ribosomal RNA
Source: RNAcentral